RNAcentral lists this ribosomal RNA (250 nucleotides) under uncultured bacterium. RNAcentral describes it as "partial 16S ribosomal RNA". It matches the Rfam family "Bacterial small subunit ribosomal RNA", at positions 524 to 773 of the family's 1533-position model. The record is from RNAcentral.
UACGGAAGGGGCGAGCGUUGUUCGGAAUCAUUGGGCGUAAAGGGCGCGUAGGUGGUGCUGUAUGUCUCCCGUGAAAGCCCACGGCUCACCUGUGGGAGGGCGGGAGAAACUGCAGGACUUGAGGCUGGGAGGGGCUGGUGGAAUUCCCUGUGUAGCGGUGAAAUGCGUAGAGAUGGGGGAGAACACUCGUGGCGAAGGCGGCCAGCUAGACCAGUUCUGACACUGAGGCGCGACAGCGUGGGGAGCAAAC